This 277-nucleotide unclassified non-coding RNA is filed under the name Hevea brasiliensis (rubber tree). The record is from RNAcentral. Lineage: Eukaryota; Viridiplantae; Streptophyta; Magnoliopsida; Malpighiales; Euphorbiaceae.
AUCGCAUUUGACCCGAAAGGUCGUGGGCCUUAUACAGGAAUAGCUGAUGGCAGAAUUGUGUUGUGGGAUGGAGAGAAAUGGACUGAUUUCGCAUAUACGUCUGCUAAUAGGUCUGGCCUUUGUGACCCAAAACCAUCUCCCCUGAGCUAUUUAGAAAAUGAACACAUCUGUGGUAGGCCUUUGGGAUUACGGUUUGAUAAAAAAACAGGUGACUUGUAUAUUGCAGAUGCAUAUUUUGGGUUGAUGAAAGUAGGGCCUGAAGGGGGACUAGCAGAAA